Molecule: microRNA, 20 nt
Filed under: Oryza sativa (Asian cultivated rice)
Lineage: Eukaryota; Viridiplantae; Streptophyta; Magnoliopsida; Poales; Poaceae
Also listed under: 1 other name
Description: osa-miR816
Gene: osa-miR816
Source: miRBase by way of RNAcentral
GUGACAUAUUUUACUACAAC